Molecule: long non-coding RNA, 577 nt
Organism: Syngnathoides biaculeatus (alligator pipefish)
Lineage: Eukaryota; Metazoa; Chordata; Actinopteri; Syngnathiformes; Syngnathidae
Exons: 3
Source: RefSeq, a predicted model, not a curated record
CUCAAACAAGGGUGCUUGUAUGGAAAGGUCUUCUUGCCAUUUGGUGAUUGAUUUGCAGGGAUAUGCCUCUGGCCAUCGUGAAAAGCAAACUGCUAUGACAAGCAAAUCCAGGAGGUAUAAAGCUUCCAGCAAGAGUCAUCUGAACAGGCUGAGAAUAGGAAGAACCAGCAGCAGCAGUGGCAGCAAUUUGUGUGUAAAGGGGAGGGAGUAGAGUGCUUGGAAGCAGACGAGGGGGCCCCUGGUCAUCAUCGUGACUUGACUGCUCAGAUUCCUAUUUGACUUGCUAAGGAUAUGAGGGUACCCAGUCACUGAUGUCAUCCCAACAAAUUUUACUAGGGAAACAGUGUAUCCUACAGGAGGAGAUACACAGUCAUCACUUUCAGGCACUCAUUUGAUUUUUUCACAUUUCCCUUAUCCAAAUUCUAUUGACCAUUCUAUCGCUUAUUAGCUUCUGUCAACCAUAUUUACAGACUUCCUGCAUUUAUCUCAAUGUCUUCCAAAUCCUUAAUUUUAAUUGUUUUGUUCUUCAAUUAUUUUCAUUAGGAACAUAUUGUUAUACAAGUUGCACAUAUUUGUA